RNAcentral lists this ribosomal RNA (261 nucleotides) under uncultured bacterium. RNAcentral describes it as "partial 16S ribosomal RNA". It matches the Rfam family "Bacterial small subunit ribosomal RNA", at positions 333 to 586 of the family's 1533-position model. The record is from RNAcentral.
CUGUGCCUACGGGAGGCAGCAGUAGGGAAUCUUCCACAAUGGACGAAAGUCUGAUGGAGCAACGCCGCGUGAGUGAAGAAGGGUUUCGGCUCGUAAAGCUCUGUUGGUAGUGAAGAAAGAUAGAGGGAGUAACUGGCCUUUAUUUGAUGGUAAUUACUUAGAAAGUCACGGCUAACUACGUGCCAGCAGCCGCGGUAAUACGUAGGGGGCAAGCGUUGUCCGGAUUUAUUGGGGGUAAAGCGAGGGCAGGCGGUUCAAAAA